AUACGGAGGGUGCAAGCGUUAUUCGGAAUCACUGGGCGUAAAGGGUGCGUAGGCGGUUUGAUAAGUCUGAUGUGAAAUCCUAUGGCUCAACCAUAGAACUGCAUUGGAAACUGUCAGACUAGAAUACUGAAGGGGCAGAUGGAAUUAGUGGUGUAGGGGUAAAAUCCGUAGAUAUCACUAGGAAUACCGAAAGCGAAAGCGAUCUGCUGGGAAGUUUUUGACGCUGAGGCACGAAAGCGUGGGGAGCAAACGGGAUUAGAUACCCCAGUAGUCC
This 274-nucleotide ribosomal RNA is filed under the name uncultured bacterium. RNAcentral's name for it is "partial 16S ribosomal RNA". It matches the Rfam family "Bacterial small subunit ribosomal RNA", at positions 523 to 796 of the family's 1533-position model. The record is from RNAcentral.